This is a non-coding RNA of Schistosoma rodhaini, 46 nucleotides long. The record is from Rfam. NCBI's taxonomy places the organism in Eukaryota, Metazoa, Platyhelminthes, Trematoda, Strigeidida, Schistosomatidae.
UCACUGCUGAGGAGUCUCAGACUUGGACGAAACGGCCGUCCAGUGC